RNAcentral lists this unclassified non-coding RNA (437 nucleotides) under Hevea brasiliensis (rubber tree). Lineage: Eukaryota; Viridiplantae; Streptophyta; Magnoliopsida; Malpighiales; Euphorbiaceae. The record is from RNAcentral.
UGCCUCAUUAAAUAUAGCAUAAAUAAUUUUAACAAUUAUUUAUAGAUAAUAGUUUUAUUUAUAAGAUAUAAGCAUAGCAUCUUAUAUUAUUAUAAAAUAUAAUUAGAUGUGUUUUCAAUAUAUAUCAAAAGAAAAAAAAGAAAACCGUAGUAUCACGUGGGCUUUUAGAGCUUGUAUUAUACUAAAAGAGGGCACUCUUUCACUGUUCCUAAUAACACUGAAAAGUCCCCUUUUGCCCUUAUAGUUUAUGUACUAACAAGAGGCUUAAUCCUAAGCAGAACUAGCUCACCCCACGAUAGCAUUUCUUUGCCCAGCACGUGCCGUGGAAAUGAAAUGACUUGUAUUAACUAUUCCUAAACUCACCCAAUGGUAGCAUUUCUUUGCCUAGUGUCACGCUACAACAAAUUUAAGUUUUAAUAGUAUUUUUUAAAUAUUAA